CGGACGGGUGAGUAACGCGUGAGUAACCUGCCUUACACAAGGGGAUAGCCGUUGGAAACGACGAAUAAUACCCUAUGAAACUAUCACUUCGCAUGAAGCGAUAGUCAAAGUGUUAGCGGUGUAAGAUGGACUUGCGUCUGAUUAGCUAGUUGGUGAGAAAAAGCCCACCAAGGCAACGAUCAGUAGCCGGCUUGAGAGAGUAUACGGCCACAUUGGGACUGAGACACGGCCCAG
This 234-nucleotide ribosomal RNA is filed under the name uncultured Eubacteriales bacterium. Its description in RNAcentral is "uncultured Clostridiales bacterium partial 16S ribosomal RNA". It matches the Rfam family "Bacterial small subunit ribosomal RNA", at positions 99 to 334 of the family's 1533-position model. The record is from RNAcentral. Lineage: Bacteria; Bacillati; Bacillota; Clostridia; Eubacteriales.